This 20-nucleotide ribosomal RNA is filed under the name Cladophialophora bantiana. RNAcentral's name for it is "partial 28S ribosomal RNA". The record is from RNAcentral. Lineage: Eukaryota; Fungi; Ascomycota; Eurotiomycetes; Chaetothyriales; Herpotrichiellaceae.
UCAUGUGGGAAACAUUGCAA